GGCUGGUCCGAAGGUAGUGAGUCAUCUCAGUUGAUUGUUCAGUCAGUUACAGAUCGAGCUCCUUGUUCUACUCUUUCCCCCCUUCUCACUACUGCACUUGACUAGUCUUUU
RNAcentral lists this Y RNA (111 nucleotides) under Cebus imitator (Panamanian white-faced capuchin). Its description in RNAcentral is "Y RNA (ENSCCAG00000000488.1)". It matches the Rfam family "Y RNA". From Rfam's summary of the family: Y RNAs are components of the Ro ribonucleoprotein particle (Ro RNP), in association with Ro60 and La proteins. The Y RNAs and Ro60 and La proteins are well conserved, but the function of the Ro RNP is not known. The record is from Rfam by way of RNAcentral. Lineage: Eukaryota; Metazoa; Chordata; Mammalia; Primates; Cebidae.